Misgurnus anguillicaudatus (oriental weatherfish) is the source of this 638-nucleotide non-coding RNA. The record is from RefSeq and is a predicted model, not a curated record. Lineage: Eukaryota; Metazoa; Chordata; Actinopteri; Cypriniformes; Cobitidae.
CAAUCGCGUGCGAGGUCAUGGCCACGGCUCACACAGCAGUACAAGAGGACCAUUAAGCGAUGUUUGGUUUGGUGUUUGUAACUCUCCAAGAAGAGAAGACGGGUGCACAAUCCCAAGAUUGCGGAGGCUGUACGGCGUCUCUGAGGCACACUGCAGGCGCUUUGAACCAGAGCAAAGACUAACGUCGCCUCAUAACGAAGCCGUGACCUCCUAUUUGGUUGGGGCUAUUUUAGCAAGUCCACAUUUAACUGCUGAGAAUGACGACAUUGUUUCUGCCUGUAAGACGUAUUAUGAGUCGGUUCGCCGGAGCUUCAGAUACAAACAACCUGAACUCGCAUCGCGGGCGGAAAAUACGAAAAGUUUAGCUCGGAGUCGAUCCAGAAGAAAAAGGUUGCUGGAAGCGAGACGAAGUGUGCUGGCUGAGGGUGAGAUGGACAUUUGAAAGUGCGCCACCAUAGAUCUCAUGUCUGAUGAAGACGGCAUUGUUGACGGGGUGUCUGGAUGGAUUGUACGGCCACCGCCCUCUCGCAGCCUGGAACUCUCCGAGCUCUGUGCCACGCUGCAAUUCAGAUUAGAGGCGAUACCAAAGUACAGGGGAACUCACCAUAUAUGCCUGCAAAAGCGACUUUUUACAACGU